RNAcentral lists this ribosomal RNA (400 nucleotides) under uncultured bacterium. RNAcentral's name for it is "partial 16S ribosomal RNA". It matches the Rfam family "Archaeal small subunit ribosomal RNA", at positions 473 to 873 of the family's 1478-position model. The record is from RNAcentral.
AUACCAGCUCUCCGAGUGGUGUGGAUGUUUAUUGGGCCUAAAGCAUCCGUAGCUGGCUAGGUCAGUCCCUUGUCAAAUCCACCGAAUUAAUCGUUGGAUCGCGGGGGAUACUGCUUGGCUAGGGGACGAGAGAGGCAGACGGUAUUUUCGGGGUAGGGGUGAAAUCCUAUAAUCCCGGGAAGACCACCAGUGGCGAAGGCUGUCUGCUAGAACGCGCCCGACGGUGAGGGAUGAAAGCUGGGGGAGCGAACCGGAUUAGAUACCCGGGUAGUCCCAGCUGUAAACGAUGCAGACUAGGUGUUUGGACGGCCACGUGCCGUUCUAGUGCCGCAGGGAAGCUGUUAAGUCUGCCGCCUGGGGAGUACGAUCGCAAGAUUGAAACUUAAAGGAAUUGGCGGGG